CAGCCGCCGCGGUAAUACGUAGGUGGCAAGCGUUGUCCGGAAUUAUUGGGCGUAAAGGGCUCGCAGGCGGUUUCUUAAGUCUGAUGUGAAAGCCCCCGGCUCAACCGGGGAGGGUCAUUGGAAACUGGGAAACUUGAGUGCAGAAGAGGAGAGUGGAAUUCCACGUGUAGCGGUGAAAUGCGUAGAGAUGUGGAGGAACACCAGUGGCGAGGGCGACUCUCUGGUCUGUAACUGACGCUGAGGAGCGAAAGCGUGGGGAGCGAACAGGAUUAGAUACCCCCGUAGUCCCUGUCUCUUAUCC
Molecule: ribosomal RNA, 301 nt
Filed under: uncultured bacterium
Lineage: Bacteria
Description: partial 16S ribosomal RNA
Rfam family: Bacterial small subunit ribosomal RNA
Source: RNAcentral